This 316-nucleotide ribosomal RNA is filed under the name uncultured eukaryote. RNAcentral's name for it is "partial 18S ribosomal RNA". It matches the Rfam family "Eukaryotic small subunit ribosomal RNA", at positions 1470 to 1796 of the family's 1831-position model. The record is from RNAcentral.
CCCUUAGAUGUUCUGGGCUGCACGCGCGCUACAAUGAUGCAGGCAGUGAGGAGUGUACUUGACCGAGAGGUCUGGUUUCUUGCUCGUAAUCUGCAUCGUGCUGGGGAUAGAUCAUUGUAAUUAUUGAUCUUGAACGAGGAAUGCCUAGUAAGCGCGAGUCAUUAGCUCGCGCUGAUUACGUCCCUGCCCUUUGUACACACCGCCCGUCGCUCCUGCCAAUGGGUAGGAUGGUGAGAAAGAGUGCUUGACCGCUCUAACGAGUGAGUCCAAGGCCUCUCCCGAAUCAUUCUAUCUAAAGGAAGGAGAANUCGUANCA